GCACCCGUAUCUCAACUGGAUAGAGAAGCGGCCUACGAAGCCGAAGGUUGAAAGUUCAAAUCUUUCCGGGUGUACCA
RNAcentral lists this transfer RNA (77 nucleotides) under Bacteroidota bacterium. RNAcentral describes it as "Bacteroidetes bacterium (permafrost metagenome) tRNA-Arg". It matches the Rfam family "tRNA". Rfam says of the family: Transfer RNA (tRNA) molecules are approximately 80 nucleotides in length. Their secondary structure includes four short double-helical elements and three loops (D, anti-codon, and T loops). Further hydrogen bonds mediate the characteristic L-shaped molecular structure. tRNAs have two regions of fundamental functional importance: the anti-codon, which is responsible for specific mRNA codon recognition, and the 3' end, to which the tRNAs corresponding amino acid is attached (by aminoacyl-tRNA synthetases). tRNAs cope with the degeneracy of the genetic code in two manners: having more than one tRNA (with a specific anti-codon) for a particular amino acid; and 'wobble' base-pairing, i.e. permitting non-standard base-pairing at the 3rd anti-codon position. The record is from RNAcentral. Lineage: Bacteria; Pseudomonadati; Bacteroidota.